UACGUAGGGAGCAAGCGUUGUUCGGAUUUACUGGGCGUAAAGGGCGCGUAGGCGGCAAAUUAAGUCAGCUGUGAAAUCUCCGAGCUUAACUCGGAACUGUCAGCUGAUACUGAUCUGCUAGAGUGCGGAAGGGGCAAUCGGAAUUCUUGGUGUAGCGGUGAAAUGCGUAGAUAUCAAGAGGAACACCUGAGGUGAAGACGGGUUGCUGGGCCGACACUGACGCUGAGUGCGCGAAAGCCAGGGGAGCAUACGGG
This 254-nucleotide ribosomal RNA is filed under the name uncultured bacterium. RNAcentral describes it as "partial 16S ribosomal RNA". It matches the Rfam family "Bacterial small subunit ribosomal RNA", at positions 524 to 776 of the family's 1533-position model. The record is from RNAcentral.